CCUACGGGUGGCAGCAGUGGGGAAUAUUGGACAAUGGGGGGAACCCUGAACCAGCGACGCCGCGUGAGUGAAGAAGUCUUUCGGUAUGUAAAGCUCUAUCAGCAGGGAAGAAAAUGACGGUACCUGCCUAAGACUCCCCGGCUAACUACGUUACAGCCGCCGCGGUAAUACGUAGGGGGCAAGCGUUAUCCGGAUUUACUGGGUGUAAAGGGAGCGUAGACGGUGCAGCAAGUCUGAUGUGAAAGGUCGGGGCCCAACCCCGGGACUGAAUUGGCAACUGUUGAACUGAGUACAGGAGAGGUAGGCGGAAUUCGUAGUGUAGCGGUGAAAUGCGUAGAUAUCAGGAGGAACCCCAGUGGCGAAGGCGGCUUACUGGACUGCAACUGACGUUGAGGCUCGAAAGCGUGGGGAGCAAACAGGAUUAGAUACCCCAGUAGUC
RNAcentral lists this ribosomal RNA (439 nucleotides) under uncultured bacterium. RNAcentral describes it as "partial 16S ribosomal RNA". It matches the Rfam family "Bacterial small subunit ribosomal RNA", at positions 338 to 795 of the family's 1533-position model. The record is from RNAcentral.